Molecule: non-coding RNA, 328 nt
Organism: Paramuricea clavata
Lineage: Eukaryota; Metazoa; Cnidaria; Anthozoa; Malacalcyonacea; Plexauridae
Source: the annotation of a GenBank genome assembly
CGCCGGAACGAUGGGAAGGCAAGGGGGGGGGGGGCAGAUUUUCGUGAAAGGGCAUGCACUUUUGAACUGAUAUAUACUAAGAGAUGUUUGAAAAACAUCGGGAGUUGAACUUCGCCUAAUCAUGUUUUCUAUUUUAUAUUGGAUGAUAGGGGUGUGAGGGGGUUCUCAGCUAGGCGAUUGUGCUAUUCUCGAAGCUCGAUGACUGCAUUUCUUGCGUUUUCUGAAGCAAAUUCGUGAAAGAAUUGCACUAACAUUUCCGACAAUUCGCUAUUUCGCCAAGGCAAUCCUUUAAAUUGAAAGGGCACCUUUGCCCCCCCCCCCCCCCCCU